GAGGAAGAGGUGUUUAGGAAUUCAAAAUUUUUGAGAAAAGAGAUGAUUGAGACCCAUGAUUUUGGAGAGAGAAAUUUUUUUUAAGUUGUUUAAACGGUGUUUUACUUUACAAUCAUAUUAAAUUAAAUUCAUAUUAAUUAUCAUCUUUACUCCACUAUUUAUUAUUUUGACGAUAAUUUAUUAUAUGAUUUCUUAUUGCAUAAAUUCAUCAAAAUUUUGAAAUCAAAUUUGAUUUUCUGGUGAUUAAUUCAUCUUGGUUGUGAGUGUUGGAUAUGAUGAAUGUGUAUUCUCUAAUUGACUAGAAUUCGUCAAAAUUAUUUUCAAUUGUGAGAUUGCCAAAUUUAGGGGGAGUUUGAAAUAAAAAAAAAAAAGAGGGAGAAAAAAAAACUCCUAUGUUUAAAAGAUGUGGAAAGAGUUACAUCCUAAAAGGAGUGUGAAAACUACCACCACAUGUAGGAAAGAGCUACCACCCCGGUCGUCCGGCAAGUGUGUGAAGCUACCACAUGAAAAUUAAAUUGAUUAAACCGAAAAAAAAUUGAAAAGAAACAAUUGAAUAUUUUAGAAUUUUUCGGAGUAAUAAGGUGUUAGUUUGAAAAAGAUGCUCAAAGAGCCACCCCCGGUACCAUAUUAGUUAAAUCUCUAUUUUGAAUGUGUUACGACAAAUUCGUGUCAAUUUUUGUUGAAUUUCUAAAAAUUAUUUUUCAUCAACUUACAUCUUGAUGGUUUUGAAUCAUUAAAUUAUUUUUGAUAAUGAAAUUUUGAUGUUUUGAUGUAUUUUGAAAUUUUAUAAUAUCUUAUUGUCAUUAUAAUGAUUCUUGGAGUAAAAGCCUUAAAUUAUUUAAAAUUAAUUUAAUUUGAUGGAUUUUUAAAGCAAAUUUUUCGAAAUCUGAGAUUCUUUGUC
This 901-nucleotide long non-coding RNA is filed under the name Ananas comosus (pineapple). RNAcentral's name for it is "long non-coding RNA (ACOM_LNC019991)". Lineage: Eukaryota; Viridiplantae; Streptophyta; Magnoliopsida; Poales; Bromeliaceae. The record is from RNAcentral.